Molecule: ribosomal RNA, 683 nt
Filed under: Ceratobasidium sp. AG-Ba
Lineage: Eukaryota; Fungi; Basidiomycota; Agaricomycetes; Cantharellales; Ceratobasidiaceae
Description: eukaryotic LSU rRNA
Rfam family: 5.8S ribosomal RNA (bases 238-391)
Source: RNAcentral
UCCGUAGGUGAACCUGCGGAAGGAUCAUUAAUGAAUGAAUAUAGAGUUCGGGUUGUAGCUGACCUCCCCAGAGGUAUGUGCACGCCCCUUCUCUUUCAUCCACACACCCCCUGUGCACUUGUGAGACGGAGAAGCUCAGUUUCCUUUCAUUUAGGAGACUUUGUAGCUCCGUCUAUCAACACAUAAAAUCUAAUUUAAUUAAAUCUGAAUGUAAUUUGAUGUAACGCAUCUAAUACAAAGUUUCAACAACGGAUCUCUUGGCUCUCGCAUCGAUGAAGAACGCAGCGAAAUGCGAUAAGUAAUGUGAAUUGCAGAAUUCAGUGAAUCAUCGAAUCUUUGAACGCACCUUGCGCUCCUUGGUAUUCCUCGGAGCAUGCCUGUUUGAGUAUCAUGAAAUUCUCAAAGCAAGUCUUUUGUUAAUUCAAUCGGCUUUUGCUUUGGACUUGGAGGUCUGCAGAUUUUAAAACUCUGCUCCUCUUAAAUGCAUUAGCUGGAUCUCCAUGAACUUGGUUCCACUCGGCGUGAUAAGUUAUCACUCGCUGAGGACACCCGUAAAAAAGGUGGCCAGGCUCUAGGAUGAGCCGCUUCUAAUAGUCCAUUAGCUUGGACAAAUUAAAUUUCUGAUCUGAUCUCAAAUCAGGUAGGACUACCCGCUGAACUUAAGCAUAUCAAUAAGCGGAGGA